UACGGGGGGAGCAAGCGUUGUUCGGAUUUACUGGGCGUAAAGGGCGCGUAGGCGGUCGUGACAAGUCACUUGUGAAAUCUCCGGGCUUAACUCGGAGCGGUCAAGUGAUACUGUCGGACUAGAGUACAGAAGGGGCAACUGGAAUUCUCGGUGUAGCGGUGAAAUGCGUAGAUAUCGAGAGGAACACCUGCGGCGAAGGCGGGUUGCUGGGCUGAUACUGACGCUGAGGCGCGAAAGCCAGGGAGCGAACGGG
RNAcentral lists this ribosomal RNA (253 nucleotides) under uncultured bacterium. Its description in RNAcentral is "partial 16S ribosomal RNA". It matches the Rfam family "Bacterial small subunit ribosomal RNA", at positions 524 to 776 of the family's 1533-position model. The record is from RNAcentral.